This 1655-nucleotide unclassified non-coding RNA is filed under the name Limulus polyphemus (Atlantic horseshoe crab). RNAcentral describes it as "p2X purinoceptor 4-like, transcript variant X2". Lineage: Eukaryota; Metazoa; Arthropoda; Merostomata; Xiphosura; Limulidae. The record is from RNAcentral.
UAUGGUGAGAGUAUUAGUAGAAUGUUGAACCGGGAGUAACUGUUAUAGCGUUUUUCUGUUGCUUGUGAGGGUCGGGAUAGUUUAUAUUUUUACAGGUGUAUUUUUAUAGUUAGUGCAAUUUAUCAAGCUUAUUUAUUAUAUAAAAAAUAUGUCAUGUGAUGCUUUCAAAAGCAUCAUAUCAGAAUUUUUUGAGUAUGAUACAACGAAAAUUGUUCACAUCAAAAGUAAGAAAGCUGGCAUUUUGAAUAGAAUCGUGCAGUUGAUCAUAAUAGCCUAUAUUGUUUGUUUUGCUGUUAUCUACAAGAAAGGUUAUCAAGAUUUCAGUACUCUAGAAAGUUCUGUCACCACCAAGGUCAAGGGAGUAGCUUACACAAACUUUUCAAAUGACAAGUUUAACCCAAAGAUUAAGAACUUUGAUGAUUACAGAAGAGUAUGGGAUGUAUCGGAUUAUGUCAUCCCUUCUUCGGAAAAUGGAGCUUUCUUUGUCACUACCAAUGUUGUUGUUACACCCAACCAGACUCAAUUUCACUGCCCUGAGGACCCAUCUGUACCUGGUGCUUUAUGUGAUCCAAAAAAUAACACUUGUGUAGCUGGUACACCUCUUCUCUUGGGAAAUGGUGUGAUGACAGGGAACUGUGUUGCUUCACUUGUAAACUCAACUGCAUACGUUUGUGAAAUCAAUGCAUGGUGUCCAGUGGAACAAGAUAUCAACCCAUUAAAAAACAAUACAGCGUUACUUGCUGCUACCAAGAAUUUUACCGUUUUAAUCAAGAAUUUUGUUGAAUUUCCAAAAUUUAACAUCCGAAGGAGCAAUAUUCUGGACACAACUAACACAACUUAUCUGUCUGGUUGUCACUAUCAUUCCAACACUGAUCCUGCUUGUCCAAUAUUUGUUUUAGGAGAUAUUAUAGCAGAAGCUGGAGAGAACUAUGAUAUCAUGGCUGUAAAGGGUGGUGUGAUUGCCAUAAUUAUAGAAUGGGACUGCAAUAUUGAUUUUGAUAUACGAUAUUGCAUUCCAAUAUAUUCCUUUAGAAGAUUAGAUGAUCCAGAAGCUAAAAUUGCAAAAGGCUGGAAUUUCAGGUAUUCCAACUAUUAUGAUGAUAACUCUAGAACUCUCUAUAAAGUCUAUGGGAUUAAAUAUGAUGUAAUUGUACAUGGACGAGCAGGAAAGUUUAAUGUGGUGCCUUUGAUGAUUAACAUUGGAUCUGGUUUGGGACUUUUGGCUGUGGCUUCAGUAAUAGGUGAUAUUAUUGUGCUUUAUCUACUGAAAAAAAGGGACUAUUAUCGAAGUAAGAAGUAUUUACAAGUUACAACUGAAGGAGAUGCAUUCGAUCCCGAGGCAUUUAUGCCUAGUGUCAGGAGAAGAAAACCUGAGAGUUCCACAUACAGUGAUCUUGACAGUGUUCAGGAUAAUUAAUCACCAUUCCAUGUUAACUUGCAAACAUACUGUGGAAGUACUACCAGUUUUAAGUAUAUGAGAUGCGGAAUAGCUUUGGUUGUUGCAGAAUAUUAUGUAUUGAUUGGAUUUAAAGUUGUCACAAUUACUUACAUUGUUAUUUGAAUUACAAUAUUAUGUGCAUGGAAUUAUAUUUGGUAACUUAAGAAGUACAGUAAACAAUGUUUCUUGAUUUUGUUAAAUUUCUUUUAUUGUUACA